Molecule: ribosomal RNA, 239 nt
Filed under: uncultured bacterium
Lineage: Bacteria
Description: partial 16S ribosomal RNA
Rfam family: Bacterial small subunit ribosomal RNA
Source: RNAcentral
UUCCUACGGGGGGCAGCAGUGGGGAAUAUUGCACAAUGGGGGAAACCCUGAUCCAGCGAUGCCGGGUGAGGGAAGAAGGUUUUCGGAUUGUAAACCUCUGUGGAGGGGGACGAUAAUGACGGUACCCCUUUAGGAAGCCACGGCUAACUACGUGCCAGCAGACGCGGGAAUACGUAGGUGGCGAGCGUUGUCCGGAAUUACUGGGUGUAAAGGGAGUGCAGGCGGGGAAGGAAGUCAGA